GGGUGAUUGGCUCAGCGGUAGAGCACUGCCUUCACACGGCAGGGGUCAGUGGUUCGAUCCCACUAUCACCCACCA
RNAcentral lists this transfer RNA (75 nucleotides) under Gammaproteobacteria bacterium RIFCSPHIGHO2_02_FULL_42_13. RNAcentral describes it as "tRNA-Val". It matches the Rfam family "tRNA". From Rfam's summary of the family: Transfer RNA (tRNA) molecules are approximately 80 nucleotides in length. Their secondary structure includes four short double-helical elements and three loops (D, anti-codon, and T loops). Lineage: Bacteria; Pseudomonadati; Pseudomonadota; Gammaproteobacteria. RNAcentral also lists the same sequence under 2 other names. The record is from RNAcentral.